Molecule: long non-coding RNA, 1352 nt
Filed under: Nicotiana benthamiana
Lineage: Eukaryota; Viridiplantae; Streptophyta; Magnoliopsida; Solanales; Solanaceae
Description: long non-coding RNA (NBEN_LNC039488)
Source: RNAcentral
AAAUCUAAGAAAGAUCAGCAAAUCUAGGACUAAAAAAAGCACCGCCGCUAAUACACAAAGGCCCUACCCUGUAUCUCGUCUCCUUCACACAUCCCACCCAAGUCGCCUAUCUCACACCACCCCCGUUCAUAAACUCACUGGAAUUAGCCGCAUCCUAUAAAAAACAGAGAAGAUCUGAGGAGCCCGGGAUUUCCUUCUUCUUCAGAAGAACAACUAGCCAUCUCCACCUAUCUUCUUCAGUCGUCAACACACCCAAAAGACCGCCAAUAUCGUCGCUCCUCCCAGCCAACCCACCCCGACGACCAUCUCCAAAACCAACCGACCACCAUACUGUACACACAAAGAGUCAAUAAACAAAAUAGGAAGAAUAUCAAAGAUGUAUCUACUGCCUCUCCAUUCCAAUUUUUAUUUCUCAAAGAUUAAGAAAACAGAAAUAAAAUUACAAACGCAAGUAUUUUGGUGCUUCCUUUUCUCAGUUUCUAUUUUCGUUCUCAAUUUAUGGAUUUUGCUUGAGUAAAAUUGGGCCGUUGUCAUUCGAGGUCAUGUUCGUGGUUCCAAAUCCAACUUUAUUAUUAUCUUGCUCGUUCACUGCUGGACGUUAGAAGUUAAAACUACGAUUCUGGAUUUGCUUGUAAUUGCCUCUGAAUGACAGUAGUGAAAAGCUUUUGUUCAUGUCCAUUUCUAAUUCUCUCUUAAAUUAUUUUGGUGUGAUUAGAAUAUGAUAAGAGCCCUAUUUUAUUAGCGUUUGUGGUUUGUUUAAAAGUCAGUUUAGAUGAAGCUAAGCAGGACGUAAUUUAAGAGAGUGCUUGGUGAUGUACAUAGAUCUUCAAGUAUUCUGAUGAACACCUAUAGCUUGGAUCUACCUUGUUUUAAGGUGAAUUAUUAGAGUUUAAUCGACUUUAUGUUGGAUUCUUGAGUUUUAUGACUGGCGCUUCAUUGGUAUUCUUCUAAAAAGGUCGUGUUUAUGUUUUUCUACAAUUGGACGUGAAACUAGCGAUUGGCGAGCUUGAUACUAUCUGUUAGCAUGUCUAUCAAUUAAACUUGACGAUCUUAGGUUCUUCAAGCAUUUUAUAUGCAUUGAUAAGUUCAGUUGCCAUUUCCUCCUUUAUGUGAGUUAACUGUCAUUUUAGUGAAUUCGAGUAUAUUGUUACAUGUUGGAAAGUUUUAAUGCUUGUCCUUUGUUUGAAUGUUCACUGUCGGGUUUCAAUACUUGUCCGUUGAUCCAUCUUGACUUUAUUAGUUCGAAUUCAUUAUCUUAAUCACUUAGUGUUACUUGGAAAGCUUGAGUUUAUUCAGGGGAGUUUGUCUAUCUUGUUUGAAUUGAAAAAACCACCCAUAUGUGUACAUCUUUU